GUGAAUCAUCGAAUUUUUGAACGCAAAUUGCGCCUUUUUCCGUGGGCAUGUCUGUUUGAGGGUACCAUUUAACAUAUAAUGUGCAGCGUCGUUUGUUGCACACGUUGAUGAGCUUUCCAUGUUUUUUGAAUUUUUGGUGGCGCCUAAUGAACAAUGUGAAAGUUGUUCUCAGUUAGAGUGAAGUAAAUUUUUUGCUUGGUUUGUGAAAGAACAUAAACUCGCAAUGUGCGUGGCU
Molecule: unclassified non-coding RNA, 235 nt
Filed under: Paraglomus sp.
Lineage: Eukaryota; Fungi; Glomeromycota; Glomeromycetes; Paraglomerales; Paraglomeraceae
Description: partial internal transcribed spacer 2
Rfam family: 5.8S ribosomal RNA (bases 1-65)
Source: RNAcentral